CCUUCUAGUGUUUACCUGUGCAAUAAUGACGUGCCACGUUGCAAAUAGUUUUCAUACAGUGGUGAAAUGAAUAAAAUUGAUGAAGAACGAGUAUUUUUAUUCAAUAUGAGUCGAUAAAUGUAGGUUUUUAUGUCAAAUAAACGUACUUGUAACAAUUGAAACAGUAACACAUUUGUUUUGAUCGAAAUCGAUAAGUUCAACUAUUGAGCGGGCUUUUCACUGUGUGGAUGUGUGUACACAUUAAGUGUGCCAACAUGGAGCGUUGCACCGUAAAACAUAGAUUGAAUUUGGUUGGACAUGUUUGUCUGAGAGCAGAAAGAAGUCGACAAAUUAUCAUGAUCAGACUGACAGACAGCGGGAGCGGAGAUAGUUGACGUUGCCACGGGUCCAGUAACUGUUGAUGUCCUUCUAGAUUUGGUGUGACGAUGGCAGUGCAAAUAAUAUCACUUGGAUUAUACAUUUUAUAGUGUACUAAAUAUAUAGAAAGCGAGCCAUAUUA
Mytilus californianus (California mussel) is the source of this 499-nucleotide long non-coding RNA. RefSeq lists it as uncharacterized. The record is from RefSeq and is a predicted model, not a curated record. NCBI's taxonomy places the organism in Eukaryota, Metazoa, Mollusca, Bivalvia, Mytilida, Mytilidae. The transcript has 2 exons.